ACAUAGAAAAAUGUUUUGGUUUUUUGUGGCUCUCUCUAACAAUUAAUUUAUCUGUACUGCACUAUUUAUCUCAGACAGCACUAGUAUUCAUCACAUACUGGAAUGUGUAUGUGCAUUUGGGCUAGAAACUCCAAAGAAGUGUUUGGAGAAAACCCACUUGGUACGAAAUAACCUUGGUACCAAUUAGUCUUGAAGUAUUUGAACCCUUCACUGCAGUCUUGAGGAAGGAAAUGCACAUUGAGGACUGCAAAUGGACUCUUAUUUAUAUGCACAUUGUUAUUAAGAAACUGUUAGUUGAUAAGUCAUGUAGAAGAUUGUACAUGCAUGCUUUCAGUGGAAUAUGUUAUUCUGCUUGAAAGAAUGUUUUAUGGAAAACUAUGUACAAAAUGCUUAUUCUAUUUUAAAAUAGCAAUAUUCCUAUGAAUCCAAUGACUGUGUUCUACAUUGAAAGGUAUUUUUAGUAGCUCUUUAAGAAUGUAUUCAUUUCUGACCUGCAUCCUUUAUCUCAGACAACAAUAGUAUGCAUCAUAUACCAAAUGAGUAUGUAUAUUGGGUCUAGAAAUGCCUUAAAUAUCUUUGCCAAAAUACCUGUUUGGUACAAAAUAAUCUUAGCACAAACUGCUCUUGAAGACUUAGAAUACUUCGCUAUGUUUUUUUUCCCCUAUUGAAAUGCACCCUGGGGACUCUAUGUAGGCUUUUAUGGUUACAUUCACUUUGAUAUUCAGAAACCUGUAAUGUAAAAGUGAUGAAGUAGAGUGCACUUGCAACUUCUAGAUGGAAUAUGGUUUUCUUUAUGAAACACUACUUCUCAGAAAACUGUGUGGGGAUGCUUAUUCUAUUUAAAACAGACAUGAAUCUGCUUACUGUGUUUUUACAGAGAAAAGUACUGUUAGUAGAUCUUUAAGAGUGUCUUCAUUUAUCUGCAGUCUUUAUCUCAGGCAGCACCAGUAUUAAUCACAUACUGAAAUGAGUACAGAUAUUUGGACCAGAAACUCCACAGAAGUGCUCACCAAAAACAUACUUGGUAGUUAAUAAUUUUAGUUCAAAGUGGUGUUGAAGUGUUCAAAUGCUUCACUAUGGUUAUAUCUAAGGAAAUGCACUCUGAGUACUGUAAAAUAACUCCUUUGUUGAUGUGCCCUAUGAUAUUUAGGAACUUGCAGUGUACAAGUCAUGAAGUAGACUGUACAUGGAUGGGCCAUGUGGACGACGUUUUUCUGCUCAGGUAAAUACAGAAAACUGUGUGCAAGAUGCUCAUGCUAUUUUAAAACAGACAAACUCAUAUGAAUCCAAUGACUGUUUUCCACAUAGAAAAAUGUUUUUAGUAGCUCCCUCCCUAAAAAUGUAUUCAUUCCUGAUCUGCAUUCUUUAUCUCAGACAGCACUAGCAUUCAUUACAUACUGAAUGAGUAUGUAUGUUGAGCCUAGAAAUCCCUUAGAAGUAUUUGUCAGAAAAGCCAGUUUGGUACAAUAUAGUCUUAGUACAAACUGGUCUUGAAGUGAUUGAACAUUUCACUACAAUUUUUUUUCAAGGGAAAUUCAUGUGGAGGUCUGUAAGAGGACUCCAUGGUUAUACUCACUUUGAUAUUGAGAACCUGUAGUGUACAAAUCAAUUAGGAGACUGCAUAUGCAUGUUCUUGGUGGAAUAUGGUUUUCUGCUUCAAAGAAUACUUUACAGAAAACUGUGUGCAAGAGCUUAUUCUAUUUUAAAACAGCAAUACUCCUAUGAAUGCUUCAAUCAGCACCUAGCAGCCAACUUAGAACUGAUGUGGACUAGGGGAAUCCACCUGUUUAAUUAAAACAAAACAUCGCAAAGGCCUGUGGUGAGGGUGGAUGCAAUAUGAUUCCUGCCCAGUUCUCUGAAUGUCAAAGUGAAGAAAUUCAAUGAAGCACAGAUAAACAACGGGAGUAACUAUGACUCUCAAGGUAGCCAAAUGACUCAUCAUCUGAUUAGUGAUGCACAUGAAUGAAUGAAGGAGUUUCCCACUGUCCCUACCUACUACCCAGCUAAACCACAGCCAAGGGAAGGGGCUUGGCAGAAUCAUCGGGUAAAGAAGAUCUAGUUAACUUUGAUUCUAGUCUGGCAUGGUGAAGAGACAUGACUGUUGUAGAAUAAGUGGGAGGCCCCCAGCACCCCCCUUCCCCCGCAAGUGGGCAGGGCAGGGCUCCCCAUCUUUGCAGGCUGCUGGUAAAAUACUAUUACCUCUUUCAACCUGGUGAGGUGGGCGGGGGGGACCAUGGGUGAGCCCCAAGGGGCUCUUCUUUCUAGCUCCAAGCACUCUGGCCAGCACAAGCCAUGCCCUGGGUGCAAGCCACUUGGGACAGUGCCAGGUGGGGAGUUUGACUGGGGCGGUACACCGGUCAAAUGGCAAUGCAGAUGUCCUAAGGUGAGUUCAGGAAGGAGAGAAACCACCCAUUGAGCAGAAGAGCAAAAGCUCACUUAAUCUUGAUUUUCAAUACGAAUACAGACUGUGAAAGCGGGGCCUUGCAAUUCUUCUGACUUUUUUAGUUUAAACAAGAGGAGUCAGAAAAGUUACCACAGGGAUAACUGGCUUGUGGGGGCUAAGAGUUCAUAGGGAUGUUGCUUUUUGAUCCUUCGAUGUUGGUCCUUCCUAUCAUUGUGAAGCAGAACUCACCAAGCAUUAGAUUGUUCAUCCACUAAUAGGGAAUGUGAGCUGGGUUUAGAUCAUCGUGAGACAGAUUAGUUUUACCCCACUGAUAAUGUGUUGUUGCCAUGAUAAUCUUUCUCUGCACAAGAGGAACUGCAGGUUCCAACAUUUGGUGUAUGUGCUUCGCUGAAGAGCCAAUGAGGUGAAGCUGCCCUCUGUGGGAUUAUGACUAAAUACCUCUAAGCCCAGGCAGAAUGAUAAGGCAGGGCCCCAAAGCCUCAGUUGGCCUCAGCUGGUUGGGGCUGCAGUGUGCAUCCCCCGCCCCCAGUGCGCACCCAGACCAAGUCUAGUGGGGAAAGCCCCUCAUCUUGGAAAAGGGGGCUGCCCCCCUGCCUAUCAUGCCCCCAAGUUGAUGGGGAACCUGGCGCUAAACCAUUGGUAGAUAACCAGCUUCUAUGUGAGCAGAGCAGCU
Molecule: ribosomal RNA, 3077 nt
Filed under: Pteronotus parnellii (Parnell's mustached bat)
Lineage: Eukaryota; Metazoa; Chordata; Mammalia; Chiroptera; Mormoopidae
Description: eukaryotic LSU rRNA
Rfam family: Eukaryotic large subunit ribosomal RNA (bases 1433-3077)
Source: RNAcentral